CGGACUGCUCCCCUCCCCUGGGCCAUCACGACCUCCUCUCCUCCGUCUUAAUUAAAUGCCCUUUCCUCCUGGUUUGGCAGCUCCUCCCUCAGCCUGGCUGUCUACACAGCAGGGCCCACGGGGCACUCUGUGUGGCCCCCUCCUCCCCGGCCUCCGCCCUCAGCCAAGCUCUCAACAACGCCCAGCGCGGGGCGGGCACAGACUGUGCAGGCCCUAAACCCUGGAAAGAUUAUGGGGCACACACCGGGAGGACGGCGGAGAGGUGAUCGCGGGCACACACGGCACAAUCGGGGGCGAUGCGCGGAGGCCCCGAGGCUGUGGUUUGCGCGGCUCAGAGGCGGCGCGCACUGACCCAGGCGGCGGGAGCGCGUGCUGCCGGGCGGCCCGGUCCGCGGCCCGGGGUCCGCACACUCACCGGACGGAGGCUGAACUCACCACCGACCCGUCCGCCCGGAGUGUGGGUCCCGCGAGGCCCGGGCGUCUGAGCGACGCGAACCGGGCGGCGCUGCGCCAUUCACACUGGGAGGUGCGGGCGCCGCGCGCGCUGCGGGUCCUCCGCGCCCGGUGGCUGGUCCCCAGGCAGCGGAGAAGGCCAUGGUGGACACCAAAGAGGAGGGGAGAGCGAAGGAAUUCUUCGCGGUUAGUUUGGCUGUGGGGCCGGUGGACUGGGGAAGCGGAGCUGACUCCCCGAGGAAUUUCCAGACCAGCCUGAACUCCAGCAGGUUGUGGGGUGGCUCUGUGUGGAACCCCACGGCAGCCACUUCUCAGCUGCAUAGCUAACCCUCUAUACCUAGACCCUUACCUGUGAACGGUGGCACCUACCCCGCAGGGUGGCGUGAGGAGUAAUGAGGCUGUGCCAGGUGCACCCACCUUUGUUCUUCGUUGGAAGGCCACGCCUGUUCGCAAGUACCGUCUGAGGACACGUGGAGCCCGUAACGCCCAUCAUUGGAGCAACAAUGCUGGACCGAGUUCUGAAGAUUCUCGUCAAAAUCCAGAGGGAUUGUAAAUUGAAACUUCCUAAAUGAGGUAAUUUAUACUCUGGGUUGAGACCAGCUCAUUUUCUUACUGGUAUGUGUGUGGAAAUAGAGGCUAAAGUGGCUCAUAUCCAUUUGGAUCCUAAUUUUCGGACGUGUAUUUGUGGUAAGAGCUUGUGAGCCAACUGCCUGAGGCCAGAUUCCCUGUCUUUUGAUAACUGGAGGAGGAGGGAAGAAAGAAGACCAGGGAAGGGGAAAGUACGCAAUAAAUCAGAGACUUGAAGCGUCUAGAUCACAAUUUUGAAACAUAAAGUGGAAUAGGAUGAAAGCUGGACAAUAAAUAAAAAACUGAAGCCGGUUUUAUCCUGGUGCAACGUUUGGAGUUUCUUCUUGAGCAGUGGGUGAGCAGCAAGUUUAACGACAGUUUCACCUGCUUCUUAAGUGUCCAGUGACUGUUGAAUGUCUCCUUCGAAACCAUCAGGCUGACAGAAACGAUCUUCCCGAGGUGGCUGAGGGAGAGGGGACAUCUGUCACGUCGGGUCCCAGCCGUGGCAUUCGUGCACGCCCCUGCUUGUCGGUGGGGGUGCUGGAGCUGCUCAGCGGGUGGACGCACAGAGGCUUGUACUGCUUGUGGUCUUAUGGCCACUCCAUUUCCUCAGCCUCCUUCCUUACAAUCUACUGCACAGGUUUCAUUUUCAGGGGACUCGGCUUGGCUUGAAGGGACGAGACAUAAGAAAAAGAACUGGUAGGACAUUCUGAACCUCUCGAAGAUCCAAUUUGACUUUCUGGAACCAAAAUUAAAUGGUUAUUGACUUCAAAUUGUUGGAGAACUGCUUUCAGGGUAAGGCGUUGUCUUGUCAGUCAGCGCUUCUGUUUCUGUGUGUCCAAAUUCUAGAAGUCUGGCAAAAGUUUUCGGUUGAACGGGGGUUUGUAUGUGUAUGGAUGAUGAGGACGGAGGGAGAACGCCAACUCAGUGUGCCUGAAAGAAGUUCUACAUUGUUUGAAAAUGUAAGAGGGACCUCACAAUUUUAAAGAUCUCUCUUUAUCUGUUUUUUAGGUAAACAAACUCAGAAUAUUUGAAUUCAUGUUCAUCUUCCCUAAUUAUAUUAAUUCUUGGUAUUUGGCCUUGGUCAACAUAUGAUGUCACACUGAGGAUUUUAUUCUUCUUCGGUCUCCUGCAGAUCUGUGUGUCUAUGGGUGCUCCAUCUGAAUCCCUUCACUGUGCACCUACUGUGCGCCAGGCUGUGUAAAACCAGAGACAAGGGAGGGAAGCUUCUGGUCCUUGAGUUCUUAGUUUAAUGAAGAGGCUGAGCAAAUUGGCCCAAAAGCAAACUGCAGGUCUGUCUGAUGAUGAAAUCGAAUCUUUUUCAGCUUUCUAAACAAAACUUGGAAAAAAGUUUUCUUCCAUUUUCAAUGUUCCCUUUGUUUGUAUUUUGAGCGUAAAGUCAUUGAUGAGAGAGAGUGUUUCCCAUCUAUUUUGUGCAUUCCCUUACCCCUCGAAGUUAAGACUUGUUAAAGGCUGAGCACACCCUUACUACGCAGUCAAGCCUUCAACAAGCACACCUGAGGGCCCUUUCCUGAGACGAGCGUGGUUACCGGGCUGAGAGUCUGCAGGCGCUGGUGGGCCUGGGUCACCAUCUCCAGCAGAGAGAUGAGCAGCAGCUGCUGGCGGGGGGGGGGGGGGGGGGGGGGUCAUUUCAAGACCCUGUAGACUACCUGUCGUGCACAGUGGGUUCGUCGAUAUUGGUCAGCUUCUCUAGUGCUAGCAUUGACAAAAUAGUGGCCGUUCUGGAGCAACGACGGAGGGGAGUCAUUGAAAAGGACUUACUUAUUACAACUGGAAAUCUUCCUGAUGACUCCCAGUGAAGCUGAGAUCAUCUGACCAACGGAGAAGUGAGGAAACACCAGCAUCUGACAUUUGAAUUCAAACCCUUUAAAAAAUUUUUCCUUGUUGAUUUGCUGCUGCCACACAAUAUUUGGUUAAUUGCGGAUGGUCUCAAGCUGUGCUCAUCGCUGCCGCGGCCGCCGGAGCCCCAGCCCGCUGCCACAGGACGGUUGGCACGCUCAGGAGCAGGCUCUCAGCGCCACGAGGACAGGAGCGUCCCAGAGUCCCGGACGGAUGGGCAGCUGGACGCCAGGCAAGGGAGCUCCAGUGGCAGUGUGCUGAGAAAGGACCCAGCAUCGGUGGACGAUCUUGAGUGAGCCACGUAACCUCUCUCUGUAGCUGUUUCCUGGUUAAAGACAAAAGAGUGGAGAUGGAUGCUACCAGCCUCGGAGAUCUUCAUGCCCACAGCUGAGACCCGUCCCGGGUGGGUGCUCUUGGAGAAUGCGUCCAGGCGUCAGAAUAGGGGUGAGGCGAGGUCGUUUGCAAGCCGUGGGAAUCGGGGCUUGUGACAGCAGGCGGCGUGAGUAAGGGAGGUGGAGGGUCAGUUGGUCCUGUGACAUCUGAGAGCACAGCCAGGACUCAGAGGCAGGCUGGUCUCUACAAAGGGGGCCGUUUUUCCCUUCUCUUCUCUCCACCCUCCAUGGGAAGCCACAAAGAUCUGAAGACUCGCACUCCACCCCAGCUCUCACCCUGGGAGAGAUUCUGUAUGUGCAUUUUUGUUUUAAAAAUUAUCAUACAAUAAAAUUAGGUUUUUGUCCCUUUUGGUAUGCAGUUCUAUGAAUUUUAACACAGGUAUGGAUUCAUAUGAUCCCCACUAUAACCAGGAUAUAGAACAAUUCCGUUAUCUUCAGACAGCCUCAUGCCGGCCCUCGAGUCUCACCAAUGGUGACCAACUGUCCUAGUUUUCCUGGGAUGUGGCACUUCCAGCAUUAAAACGCGGAAAGUUCCAGGGCAGCCAAGGCAGGUUGGCCACCCCACACGUCACCCCUAACCCUGGGAACAACUGUCUCUUUUCCAUCAUUAGUGUCUUUUCUAGAAUGUCAAGUAAGUUGGAUCAGCCAGUAACCUCUGAGGCUGCGACUCUCGCUCAGCACAGUGACUCUGAGGUUCGUUGGGUGUCCAGCACUUGGUGGUUCCUCUGAUGGCUGAGGGGUGCUCCACGGUGCAGAUAUGCCACUGUUUGGGUAGCUGUUGACUUGUGUCAGGACAUGUGGAUCGUUUCCAGCUUGUGGUUUUCCACAAAUAAAGCUGCUAAGAACCUUCGUGGAUAGGUUUUGAGUGGACGUAGGUUUUCCUCUCUCUAGGAUGAUGGUCACAUGGUUGGCGUAUGUUUAACUUUAUAAGAACAUGCCUGGCAGAGUGGCUGCAGCUUUUCACUUUCCCAUCAGAACUGUAGGAAUGUUCCAGUUGCUCCGUCAUUUGCUUUAAACACAAGGGGCCUCUUUGGCGCUCCUUCCUCCCGUGGUGCUCAGCUCGGGGCCACUGCCCUGGGGGCUCUUUGUGAUGUCUGGGGACAUUUUCGUUGUCACAACUUGUAGGAGGCUACUGGCAUCUUGUGGGUAGAGGCCCGGGUGCUGCUAAACACCCUCCUAUGUGCAGGCGGCCCCCCAACAGGGAGUCGUCCACCCAGGAUGCCAGCGAUGCCUGCUUGAGAUGAACCUUGACUGACCAUGUGCAGCCCAGCGGCCCCACCAUUUUCCCCGGGUGUGAGACAUACAUUUGAUCCUCUCACGUGAUUAUCUGCCUCUCUCAUUUGGUCAGUCCUGCAAGGUUUUGAGGGAAGAUGGUUAUGUUACCACACAGAGCUCCGGGCCCCACUUGUCCACCCCCUUUGUGAGGACAUGGGGAGCCCACGUGUCAUCAGCACUGUGAGAGGGCUGCUGUUUUCGUUCUGUUUCAGAGACCAGGAUGGAGAUAUACAGAGAGAUGCACACAGUGCUACCAUGAGUACUGAACGAUGCAGUGUAUCAAUGGGGUCCGGUGGGGAGCAGCCUCACCUGGCACUCACGCCUCCCACCAAUGGUGCCCUAUCCACGUCACUACAGAUGCGGGACCACGGGGCUCCCUGGACCUCUGAUCUGGCCUCCUCCAGCUGAGGACCCUUGCCAUCUCAAGGGCUGCUCAGGGAGCCACCUGCCCCUAUGUCCCCGCAGCUCCCAGCAACUCACAGAAGCUGGGAGGGCUCUCUCCCCAACUGUCUUCUUACUUUUGAGGCUCCCACAUUCUGCUAGCUUCUUCACAUGCCGAAAAUGCUGCAAACCUCCUGCACGGUCCUCUCUCUGCUUCUUUGACCUCCACCCCCCACCCACCCAAAGUGGGGGUCUUCAUGGCAGGGCCAGGUGGGGUCCUUCCUGCCACUGGGUCCUGGGCCAGAGCACAAGUUUCUGCAGCCUCUCCUCCUCCCGUCAGGCCUCCUGGUCCACGCUCACUGCUGGGCAUGGUCGCUGCCCUCUCUCGUUCUGUCCAACUGCCCGGCUGCCAUCUCUACAGCCCUGUACCACGCUGGACUGCGGGCUGUGCCACCUGCUGCCCACCGCCUUCUGUCAAGGGUGUGCGAGAUGCCACCAGCCCCGGGGAGCUUCAGUAUCUAAAGAAACAGACUGCUUUGUAAAGUGACAGGGGAGUGGCGCACAGUUCCCGUGAUUUUUAAAAUGAAAAUUGCACGUGGGGGGACGUGGUGCUGGGAAUUGUGUGCAGCCUGUGAGGGACCUGUGCCCUGUGGGGAGGGGGCUCCGUGGGGAAGGUGCCGGGCUGCUGGCAGGGCGGGCGUGCAGGGAGAGGCGGGACGGCCGCAGGGGCCAGCUCUGCGGAGGAGUCGCCUUCUCGGUGGUUAUUGGGAAAGAAGAGAUUGUCAUUUAGAAACCGAAGGGCAGGGAGUGUGAGGGAGAAUAACACAGGAAAAGCAGACGCUUUCCUAGACCAGACAGUGCACGGGGGAGCCCACAAGCUUAACUCAAAGACUUUUCAUUAUAAUUUGUAAAUAAAAAUUAAUUUAAAUUUUAAUUUAAUUAAAAUGGACAAAAUACUGCAAGACAAACAUUUUGAAGACUGGAGUCAACCCUGGCCAGGCAGUCCCUGCAAAGGCCCAGGAUGGGAGGCGUUACGAGGCCAUGUGGGGUUUGUGUUAAAAUGCAGACACUUCUGUGUUUCUCAGAGCCUCUUCACUCCCCAGCCAUCCGUCCCGUGGAUGUGGAAAAUGGCCCAGCGGCUUCUUAAUUGUUGUGAAAACUUAAUUCCCUCACUAGCCAAGAAUUAACAAAAGUAGCAUAAAAUAAGAUGGGAUGUCCCGGGCGCUUCCCGAACAUGGGAUUGUUUCCCUGGGUUUUAGUAAGCAUAGAGUGGGCGAUGGAAAGAAAAACGAAUCUAUUUAUCUCUUAAAGCCAGAUCAGAGGUAAAAUAAUUCACUUAAAGAUGAUUAAACCAAAGGAAUGACAGGUAUUUGAUAAACAUGCAGGAAAGAGUGGGCUGAAUUGGAAAGGAAAAGACAAAUAUUUGGAGGAGAGAAAUGCAGGUCAAGAUCUUCUCAAAGCCCCUCUGGUUCGGCUGAAAUAGACCCCCGUGAAUGUCCAAUAGGAUUAGUUCCAGCUUGCCAGUUUCUAGAGCAGCAGAGAAACAGGCAGCAGAUACACACCCCCGGGGACCCCUCCAGCUCAGCACCUUUGUUGUCAUGUGCUGGUAACUGAGAAGAAAUAAAUCACUUUUUUGGUCCCCAAGACUUUAGUUACCUAAUCCACUCAUUUAUUUAUUUUUUUUCCCUGAAAAAAGGUAAAUUUUAAGUAACAGUGUAUUUAUUCGUUUGGUUCUAAUUCUAGUGAUGACCAAAGCGGCAUUUGAUUUAGAAGACCGUAUCAAAGUGAUCCAAAAACCUGGUGCCCUGUAAUUAAAUGUGCUUUUAUCAAGUGCUGCCUAAUAGACCCCCGACUCUCUCUCAGCUGCCUUAGGAGGCGCCUGGCCUCCCGCAGGCCGUGGAGUCGCUCACCAAGGGCGGGCAGCAGGGUCUCUCUCCAUCCGCUGUGCCCCUGGUCCCCCUGGGUUCCCCACGCCCACGUGGAAGUGGUUCAGCCAUUUUUGGUGUUGCCGUGGUUGGGGCGCUGUGGACAUUUGGGGACGCUCCUGUGAAGCCUGGACAGUCCUAUUCUGAGAAGACUGUCUCACUGAUGCCUCUCGAGCCUCCCAGGGGCCCUGAGUGCGGGUGUGCCAGGACCAGGCCACGUGCCCAACUGUGGUGGCCAAGACGGGCAGCCGGUCCUCAUGGAACUUGAUGCGUCUGCUCUGGGGGGAGGCUGGGUGGUCAGACAUCAUGCAGGACAGGAGGAACGGCAUGAUGCAGGGGCUCGGGCCAGACAGGCCGUUGAGUCCUGUUAGGGAUUUCAUGUUUCGUCCCGAGAGCAAUGGCAGCCACUGACGCAUUCUAGGAAUGGGAGCCAUGUGGCGAGGUGUGCUUCCUUUCCUUCCUCUUCUUUUGAGCGAUUACUUUGGCCGGUUUGUGGACACUGGAUGGGAGGACGCCGAAGUGGAGGCCCUUCAGCAGCAGCCUCGGCUGGCUGAGCCCUACACCUUCCUCUGGCCACGGUCUUUGAUUACGGCUCAGGGAAAACACUCUGAGUCCCUGCGUGAGCCGAGUGGGUCCCUGGGGCCGGGCGUGUGUGCCUCAAACGUUACUGCACGUCCAACGCCUGGUGCGGACCGGCACCCUGCCUCUCUAAGAAGCCCCCGGUGAUGUGUACGCCGCUGGUCCAGGGCCCCCACUGUGGAGGUCUGGAUGAGGGGACUGUUCCGGUUCUCGCGGAAGUGCGCUGCAGCCUCACUGUUUUACAUCAGGAGUUCUUGAGCGCGCUUUAGACUUGCUACAGGAACUCAGACAAAAUAGACUGAUGGAGACAAAGUCCCUGGGGACCCCGCCUGCCUGCAGCCUCAGAACUGCACCACGUCUGGUCUUGGUCACAAGCAGGGACGUUGUAACCCACAGGUCACAUUCCAGUUCACAAAGCCGCGUGGUUCUCUUGCAUCAGAAAGAUCCCAAAGUCAGCGGGUGCUGUGCUGCGGUAAGACGAUCAGGAGGGGGAGGUCUCUGUUCUCGUUCUCUGUUGGCUAAGUCUUUUUAAAGCAAUAUAAACCGUUAACUGUAAAAAAUGCACAGGAUUCAAUGAAAAGUCUGACAUGCUAGAGAGCAAGUACUCAAUGUUCAAAACACGUUAAUUGUAUCAUGUCUGUGAUGGUUUAGUAGUAUCUCAAGAGGGAAGAUUUCGCUUGAGAGGGGAAUGGAUGUGUGUGUACAUGCAUGUGUGUAAAUGUGUAUACAUUUGUGUGCACAUGUGUACAUUUGUGUUUACACAUGCACACUCAUAAGUGUAUGUGCAUGGUGUGUACACAUGUGCAUAUCUGCACAUGAUUGCAUGCGUAUGGCAUGUGUGUACACACGUAGAUGUGUGUGCAUUCAUGUGUACACCCUGUAUGUGUGCACAUGUGUGUACUAGUGCGUGUGUGUGUGAUUAUGGAUGAGGAAGUAAUGAGGGGGCCCUGCUGGGGUUGUAUUGGUGAGAGUGAGGGUUACUUAGCGUCCUCCUUGUGAGAAGCCCCAGAUGCUUUGAUGGUGUUAUUUCAGAUCCGCGCACAGCUGCCGAGGGAGAGUAGGCUGAUGGGUGUCUCGUCAUCAUUUUGGUGGGUGGUGAAGUCAGGGGCUGGGUGAGGUCACGUGCCCGGAGUAGGGCCAGGCUGGAGGCUGUAUGAGCACGAUGGCAGCCCUGCCUCCUCGGCCGUCUCUGAGGAAGCUCCGGUGCUAGCCAGCCUGUGACUGCUGCUCCGCGAUGUUGCUCGUGUGGCAGGGCGGCGUCUGCACACUUGCUCGUCAAAACGCCGUGGAGCGGGCUGCCACCACUCAGCAAUUAGCCUCGGGGGCGCUGUGCCUGGUUCCUGCGCAGGGACCUCAUGCUCUCAGUCAGCGGGACAGACAGCUCUGAGCGGGCGGUGGCAGCAGACCCACGGCCUCUGGGUGAGCUCCUGGAACACUCGUAAAAGAAUAUUAGUCUGGGCGAGGGCUUCAAUCAGAGGAGCGACGUGAGUAUGUGACACAGAGAGUGGUAGAUUCAUGAAAAAUAACUGCUCUUUUUUUUUUUAACUUUUUAUUGAGAUUAUGAUAGUUUACAGCCUUGUGAAAUUUCAGUUGUACACUAUUGUUAGUCGUGUUGUGGGUACACCACUUCACCCUUUGUGCCCUGCCCCCAUUCCCCCCUUUCCCCUGGUAAUCACCGAUCAGUUCUCCUUGUCUAUAUGUUAACUUCCACCGAUGAGUGGAGUCAUAUAGAGUUCGUCUUUCUCUGUCUGGCUUAUUUCACUUAACGUAAUACCCUCAUGGUCCAUCCAUGUUGUUGCGAAUGGGACGAUUUUACCCUUUUUUAUGGCUAAGUAGUAUUCCAUUGUAUAUGUAUACCAUCUCUUCUUUAUCCAAUCAUCAGUUGCUGGGCACUUAGGUUGGUUCCACAUCUUGGCUAUUGUAAAUAAUGCUGCGAUGAACAUAGGGGUGCAAGGGACUCUUGGGAUUUCUGAUUUCAGGUUCUUAGGAUAGAUACCCAGUAGUGGGAUGGCUGGGUCAUAAGGUAUUUCUAUUUUUAACUUUUUGAGAAAUCUCCAUACUGUUUUCCAUAGUGGCUGUACCAGUUUGCAUUCCCACCAACAGUGUAUGAGGGUUCCUUUUUCUCCACAGCCUCUCCAACAUUUGUUGCUCUUGGUUUUGGAUAUUUUUGCCAAUCUAACGGGGGUAAGGUGAUAUUUUAGUGUAGUUUUGAUUUGCAUUUCCCUGAUGAUUAGCGAUGAUGAACAUCUUUUCAUGUGUCGACUGGCCAUAUUUAUAUCUUCUUUGGAGAAAUGUCUGUUCAUGUCCUCUGCCCAUUAUUUGAUCGGGUUGUUUGCUUUUUUGUUGUUAAGCUGUGUGAGUUCUUUGUAUAUUAUGGAGAUUAACCCUUUGUCGGAUAAGUGACUUGUAAAUAUUUUUUCCCAAUUAGUGGGCUGUUUUUUUGUUUCAAUCCUGUUUUCCCUUGCCUUGAAGAAGCUCUUUAGUCUGAUGAAGUCCCAUUUGUUUAUUCUGUCUAUUGUUUCCCUCAACUGAGGAGUUAUAGUGUCCGAAAAGAUUCUUUUGAAACUGAUGUCAAAGAGUGUACUGCCUAUAUUAGUAACUGCUCUGUGUGCUCUGGAAUGUGAAUUAGAAUUGGAUCCUCUCUUGUAAAUAACACACACAGAAUGUUAUGAUGAAAUAUUUCAGGCAGAUAUGCAAAAAGCAAACAUGACAUUACGAACACCUGUGUGCCCACCACUAACCGUCACAAUAACUGUGAUAGACGGUCCCUCUCAGUCUCUACUCUCCUUCCCCAGAGGUGACUGCUGUCCUGAAUGGACUGCUUCUGAGAGCAAUAUGCAGUACUGACAUGCAGUGGAAAGGCUACGUAAGUAGCAGCCUACUGUGUAACUGUUGUUGUGUUUCUUGGUGAAGGCUCGGCGUGCUGUUUUAAAGACAUCUGUGGUGGUAUGCAGCUUCAGCUUGCUCCUGUCACUGCUGUCUAGUCCACCAUCUAAUGGACGUGCCACAGCUUGUCCUCCCGUCAUCCGAUUGACGGACAUGUGGGUAGUUUCCAACUUUCCGGUGUUAUCAACAGUGCGGAGGGCGUAGCUUCGCGUGUGUUUCCUUGUGCACGUGUACCAGUAAGUCUCGCCGGGUAGACAACUAGGAAGAAUUGUUAGAUCUUAGGGAUGCACUCUUCAGCUGUUCUAAAUAUUGCUAGCUGUUCUCUAAAUCCUCGCAUGAGCCUCAGCGCCGACCGCGGUUUGCUCCACAUCCUCGCCGGACCAUUCUGUACUCUCCUCUGUUAAAUGAAGCCCCUGGCAGGAUGAGUAACAGUCUCUUACCAACUGUGGACGCCAAGCACUAUCCCAGUCCACACUGAAGGCUGGCGGCUCAUGGAAAAGGCAACUCAUGAGCAGACUACGAUACUCGAACUGACAACAACAAAAGAUCCUAGGCCACGUGGCUGCUGUGCUCUCUUCCAAGACAGUUCACAUGGUGGGAAAGAAUUAGGACUGUCAUCACUCCAAGUUCAUAUCAUCUAUAGAAACAUCCUAGGAAAAACUACCUUGGCUAUAAAUAUACUUAAAUACAGUCACAUUCUCUGUGGGGACGUUACAGUUCACCAGGCUAAAAGGAGUUUCUGCGGAAGCUUCGUCCCCUUGGUGAUAAAUUUUCCUAUGAAUAAAGAAUACCGAAGGGUUGAGCGCAGAGUAGUAAGAUCAAUACCCUGGUCACAUAAAGUGCCUCUCCAAUAAUGUAGCUUCAGGAGAUAACCUUGAAAACACCUUUUUACCAGUGGCAUCGACUGGGAGAUGUGUAAACAUCUUCUUUAGAAAGAGCCCAUGAAACAUGUGAGGUUGGAUUUUUAAGUUCCUCCUUCAAUGGCAUAGUCUCUUUCCUGUUCUCAUUUCACAUCCCCAAAUUAACAAAAGGCUUUCCUAUGCAGCUAACCUGUGCAGAACCCAAAUGACGUCCACUUAGCAUUAAUUGAGCACUGUCCGUAUGCCUGGCUUGAGUAUGUGUGGAGCGGUGGUGAACCCUGGCGCAUCUGCUCAAGUAGAGAGAGGAGGAAGACCACUCGAGGACACUUGCUCAUGUCACCCAAAGGGCUGAGGGCACUACCGGAGCUGUGUCAUGGGCCGGAUCCGAAGGGAGUGCAGCAGUAGGUUGGCCAGGGGGAGGAGGAGAAGGAGGGAAUAUGGUAAUGGUGGGAUGAACGCGGAAGGCAGGACAUGUUGGGGAGCUGGCUGGCCUGGAGCAGAGGGCCUGUUUGGGAAGUCAUAAACAUGAGGACGUCUAUAGAUGGGGAAAGAGAGGCGAGGUCCCCGGUCUUUGGCUUCCAGGCUAGUCUUUACCUCUUGGGGGAAGAAGUUGAUCUUUUGCUUUCAUGGAUCCCCAUCCCAGAGCAGAGGUGGGGUCUAUGUCCUUCUCCUUGACCCUGGGUGGACCUUUGUGACUUCUAGGGCAGCAGAGUAAGGUGAACCCUUCAGUUGUGGUUGAGCAUCCCAGAUGGAGCCACAUAGAUUGGACUAGCCAACCCCACCAAGCCCUGCCCAGACGAUACGUCAAUCAGCAAAGUAAAUUUCUGAGGUUUUACUAAAUUUUGGGAGGUUUUAUUACAUAGUGAUAGAUAACUGAUAAAACACCCUUAAAAGACCUGACAACCUCAUCUUGGUCCCUUUACCCACCUCUACUUGCCUCUCCAGAGGAGGAGAGGAGUGUACGUUUAGAGGUUUGUGGGGUGGUAGCUGCUCUCCUAGCAGCAUGGUCUACAGGAACCCACUAAAGUGGGGAGCUGACCAGGUGCCUGGUGAUGGGCUCAAGCCACUGGCCAGGCAGUAGUGACACAGGAACACACAGCUCAGGGACAUAUCACUCUCUUCUAGAGCCUAGAAUCCAGGGCUCGCCAACUUCAGUUUUCUAAACCCCAACACGUUUUAGAUAGAGAGAAACUUAUGAUAGUGUUGGCGAUGCACUGCCAAGACUCGGGGAGAAGCCCCCUAGAUUCUAAUUGUCCUUCCUGCACGGGAGCACCGUCUCCCACUGUGGAAGGGGUGGGUCCUUCGUCUGCCGUUGCCUCUGCGAUAGCAGAGCCAUCUCCCCACGCUGGAAACCGAGUUUCCUUAAAUGCAGGAUGAGGCCACAAGAUGCUUUCCUGGGUGUAGGGUGGGAAGGCGGCUGGACACGCAGAAGAACCAGGCUGGCUACAUUCUGAGCCCAAAGUGAAGCCUCAUUUGCUUUGAGAGGGUUUGUGGAGGUUCAGGGCUUCUUACCCCUGAAGAGGAAGAUGCUCCAGGGUAGAGCCUUGCUCCUCAGACUGGGAUCCGAGACCCGCAGCAUCGGAAUCUCCCGGGAGCCGCUAGAGCUGGAGGCAUCAGGCCCCGACCUGCCGAACAAGGCCGUGCCGUGCACAGGAGCCCGGGGAUCCGAGGAGAAGCCGGGCCUAGAGCAGUGGUUCUGAAGGGUUGCUGUGCGGCAGCCUUGCCUGAGUGCCGGGUGAAGCACAGGUCGCGGGGCCCACCUGGGCGUCUCUGAUUCAGAAGGGCUGCGGUGGGACCUGAGGGUCUGCAUUUCCGCCAGGGUCUCCGGUCGAUGCUGAUGCUCUGGUCACAUUUUGAGAGCUGCUGUCCUAGUAGAGAGACGCUGCUCCAUCUCAGCUCACUUUGGAACCCCCGGGAUUUUAUAAAACUCUGGGGCCGGGUGCCGCCCCGAGAUGUCCAGAGCUGGCUGGGGUGGGCUGUGGCCUGGGCAUCAGGAGAUGCGAAGGCUCCCCAGGGAGUGUAACGUUCAGGCUUCACUGAGAACCACUGUUUGGUGUCGUGGUCCUCAAAGCGUGCUGUGUGAAAAAGUGCCACCAACACAGCAGCUUAAAGCACAUUCAGUGUCUCCCCGUGUCUGUAGGUCUGAAGUCCAGGCACACCGGAGCCGUGUGCUCAGCUUGGGGUCUCUCUUACGGGGCUAAGAUCCUGGUGUCGGCCAGCAAUAAUCGCACCUGGAGCUCCGUCCUCUUCCACGCUCAUUCUGGUUGUCGGGAGAGUUGGCUCCUUGAGGCUGUAGACUGAGGCCCGUUUUCUUGGUGGUCAUCUACCCUGUUAAGGCAGCAAGGAGUCUUUCUUCCUCUGACUCUCCCUCCUCAUCUAAAGCCUGGAACCUUUAAGGGGUUCAUCUGAUUAGGUCAGGCCCACCCAGAAUAAACAUCGCCUUAAUUAACUCAGAACUAACUGAUUGGGGUCCUUGAUUUCAUCCACAAAAAACUGUCACCUUUCCCCGAGGUAAUGUGACCGGGUCCCACAGGAGUGAAAUCCCAUCAUAUUCACCAGUGCAGGUUGUCAUCACCAGGGGUCAGGGGUCUUGGGGGUCAUUCUGCCAACCACAUCAAACCAGCAGCCUCAGCAUCACCUGGGAACUUGUUCGAAAUGCAGACUCUCGGGCCCCUCAGACAUACUGAGUCCAAACCUCGGGGGUGGGGCUGGCAAUUUGUUUUCACAAGCCCCCCGGGGAUUCCGACUUGAGUUCCAGCCCCAGUCAAGGUGGCUUCUGUGCAGAGCACAGACGACAGCAGGGGCCGAGAGCCAGCGGUCUGUGCUAACGUGGUUCACUCACGUCAUCUUGGAGCAGCAAUUUCACGACUGACGUUUCAUGCACGAUGAAACAGGCGAGGGCAGUUGUGUCACAGCUGGCAUUUGACAGAGCUGGCUUCAAACCCUGACCUGGCUGCUUCCACGGGGCGAGCUCCUCAUGCCUCCACCGCUUCCCCAGAUCGCUGGUCAUCCAGGAGCUGAGUCGUCCUGUAGAGGCCUGUUGCAGGGCUGCGGUGGUGGUCACCAGCCAGGGUCCCACCUUUCCAGGGCUGAGGCUGUGUUGGCCUGGCCCCGUGUGUAGGGAGCUGACAGAGGGAACCCAGCACCGCCACGCCCUGAGUCACCCAGGGGCUGUCCUCGUAGAGGGGAGGCCAAGGUGGCCUGCAGCCGAGGCUUUCUAUUUGCUGCUUUUGUCUGUCUGUUUUGAUGGGCUGUGCACUGUUCUGGUGAUGAGGGCCAAAACUGGUUUACCUUGAUUCUGGGUGGCAUCCUGGCUAAGUCAUUCACUAUGCAAACACAAGCAAGUCACUUAAUCUUCCUCAGUCUGUUUCCUCAUCUGUAGAAUGGGGCCAACAAUAGCAUUUUUCUUGGACAUUUUUGUAAAUAAUGGAGAUAAUCCACCUAAGUACUUAGGAGAGCGCCACCAAGUAUGCCGUCAAUAAAUUUUAGCUGUUACUAUGAUAAUUUUCAAAUUGGAGAAGCUGUUAGAAACCAUCGUGACCCUGCACUUUACAGAGGAGGAAAAUGAGAAGAUUAAGAGACUGCCCGCAAUUAUAUAAUUAGUGGCAGCGCCUCAACCAGAAUUUUAACUCCAUCCCUCCAUCCGUCAUCCAUCAUCCAUCCUUCCAUCCCUCCCUCCAUCCAUCCAGCCCCCCAGCCAACAAACACCUAUUGAACGUCUGGGUGGUAGGCAUUGUCACUGGUAAUUCCUAGAUGAAAAACUCAUGGUUCCCGGGUUCAAGAUUCUCUUGGCUUAGGGGGUAAGAGCUUAUAAAUCGGUAAUUAUAAUGCCAUGUGAGAAUUACGCUGACGCAGGCGUACACCGGAUCCCCAGGAAAGGGGAGGGCUGCUUCUCCAGCCUGUGAGUGGCGGGAGGAGGGUUAGGAGUGGUCUUCUAGGCCUUAGAGGAUGAAAGGGUAUUAACUUGGGCAAGGAGGGUGUUCUUACCCCUGCAAAGUCUGCUCCUCCGUCUAGCCUCAGCAUCCCCUGGGAGGCUGUUAGAAAUGCAGACUCCCACGCUCCACCCCAGGCCUCCUGCCUCAGAAUCCACAUUUUCACGAGAUUCCCAGGGGAUUUGUGUACCCUUAAAGUUUACCAAGUUCUGCUCCACAUCGUAAGACGUGUUCCCUCUCACUCCCAGCUGUAUCUGUAGAAUACAAGUGCUUUCCAGAAUUCCGAUACAAAAUCUUGUUUUCUCCAUAGUUAUUGAGGGUGGAUGCAUGGUCUCCGCCCUCGUCUAACGUCUUGCCUAAAGCAUCACAGAGCACAAGGGCGGCACUGUGCUUCCUCGGCGUGUGGCAUCCAGAGAGCUGGGCUCACACAUUAAAUAAGAGCAGUGACAGUUUAUAAGCAGACCCAGGGCUUAGUCCUCAUGAAAAAUGCUGUGAAGAAUAUAUCAACUGAAUGGGCUCUGCUUCCUUAACCUUGGCGAGAAUACUCUCCCUAAGGAGAGGAAUGCCUUAGCCUUUGGCAACCAUGAUCACCAUGUCUGGGGGGGUGAGGUUCUCGCAGCCUUGCCUUGUCUUUGGGCUGCGUUGGUCCAUGUUCUGGAGCCCCGGCUGGAUGCUCAGAGCGCCGGGCUGCUGUCUGUGACCGCAGUCCUUGCAGACUCACCUCGCUUUGGGCUGAAGAGCUCAGGCCGCCUCCAGGCUGCAUGCAGACCCUGCUCUAAUUAGAGGGCGACCAGGGCGUGGCUGAGCAGUGCUGUGGGAGGAGCCUGUUUGUUGCAUUGUUUUUGCAGUGUGACAAUGAGACACAUCUGCCGAAUGUUCCCAUCUCUGACUCAUUUCCUCUGGUGACAAAUACGUUCCCCGGAGUGUGGUCUGACCCUCAUGGCCUUCCUCCGCAACCCUGAGCCCGUCCCUGCAUUGUCACGGGAACAGACUCCCGUCUCCCUCACCCUUCAGCUGUUGGCCUUCACCUGGUCUUGACAGGUGCUUUUGGAAGAGGGGGGAAGAGGCACGGGGAGGGCGGGCAGGCGGCUGACAAUGUGAAGUUGUGACCACACUGACGUUUCACUUUUACCAAAGAGCAAAUCCAUAAUUAAACCAAGAACAAAGCAGCAUCGCUAAAGAAAUCCCGUUAAGUCCAACUUCUCUUCUCACUGGAUGUACUGCAUUUGAAUCUUCACUCCAGACCUCAUUCAUGAAUUCCAGACUUGCUUUUCUUUUCUUUUUAAAGAUUGGCCCCUAACAACUGUUGCCAGUCUUCCUUUUUUUUUUUGUUUUUUCUUUCUGCUUUUUCUCCCCAAAUCCCCCCAGUACAUAGUACAUAGUUGUGGAUUCUAAUUGUAGGUUUUGCUGGUUGUGCUAUGUGGGAUGCCGCCUCAACGUGGCCUGAUGAGUGGUGCCAUGUCCGUGCCCAGGAUCCCAACCAGCAAAACCCUGGGCCUCUGUGGCGGAGUGUGCGAACUUAACUACUUGGCCACGGGGCCGGCCCCGAGACUGGCAUUUCUGUUUCUAAUGUGGGAGAAGUUGAGUUGGUGAUUUGCUGUCACCCCCAAAAUCAAUUCAAAGCAGAGUCAUAACUUCCUCCUGCGAACCUGCUUCCUCUCUUCCCGAUUUCACCGGGCGGUGUCUCUAUUCUAGCCGGGUCCUGGAAGACAUCUUAAAUGCCUUCUCUCUCCGUCCUAACCACCACAUACCACUGCCAACUCCUGUCAAUUAUACUGUCUUCAGAUACACCAAAAUCCAAAAACUUUAUUUCAUCAUGUUCUAUUUCUCCUCGUUAUAAAUGUGACACGGGUUUACAGCAGAGCUGUUACAGAGUAUAAAGACGGUAAAGAAGUAGAUGACAAUGACCCGUAACCACUGUUGGUGGUGGUGGUUGUGUUUCCUUCUAGUCUGCCUUCUGCUGUGAGAAGCUUCUUCCCACUUGUCUGUUUCUAUGUGAGCAAUUGCCCCUGAGUGUCUCUCCUUCCCUCCCACCGUGGCCUCUGCCUCCCCGAGUCCUGCAUUUCCUGACGGCGUUCCUGCGACAGCCCCUCACCAGCCUCCCUGUCUGUGUUCCAACCCUGUUCCAAGUCCGGCCUCUGCCGCACUGUCAGCGUAGGCUUUUGAAAAUGAAAUUCUCACCCUGUCGAUCAGUCCCUGAUGGAAAUCACGCCCCUUCGUCCUCCACCAGGCAGGGUCCACAUUUGCAUCACGGUGUGGAGACAUUUUGGAGCCAGUCCUUCCUCUCUUUCCGGCCUCAUCUUUGUGCUCUCAGGCACGUUCCCUCUGCUCCAGGGGGCCUGUGGUGUGGAGCUCCCUGCAUGGAUCCCUGCAUUCUCCUCUUGCUGAGUCGUUCAUUGCUUCCAUCUGGAAUGCCCACCCGGGCUCCCCUGAAAUCCAGCCCCUGCCCCUACACCUCUGUCUGCAGGAGAGCACCCAUGGGUUCUUCCAGGCUCAUCUGUUCUGUGAGUCCUCUUCUGUCUGGUGCCACGGAGACCCUUGCCCACCCCAUGCCAGCAGCCUUUUGCUGACCAGACCGCCUCCCCAGGGGACGCAUUCGUCUUUAUAUCCCCAGCACUUGGCUCUGUGCCUCCACAUGGUGGAGCCUCAACAAACGUUUGCUGAAUGAAUAAGUGAGUGAAUGAAUGAAUGGGAUCUGAGGCUUGGUGGAAGUCGUUCUUUGGAUCACCAGAUAUAAUCCAUUUUCUGUUGCUUCAAAUUUCAGUCACUCAUCACCCUGGGGUCAACUUCUCUCUGUUCCCAUCUUCUUUUUUCAGAACAACAUUCAGGAUUCCUAAACUGUAUCUUGAUGAGUCCCUUGGCAAUCUGGCCAAGAUCCCAGCAUCCUCUAAGAACUCACUGAUAACUCACACUCUGCUGGGCCCUGCUCUUCUGUUGUCAGCUGAGGUGCCAGUUAGUGACUGGCAGUUGCGAAGCCCUCACAGCAACAGAAUGAGGCCUCAAGUAAUAAGACAGUAUUGACUUCUGUUGAGAACACGCAUCAGAUGUAUUGAUCUGAAAACUAAAUGUUGACCAAGGUAAGGCUACGGUCAAUAUUUCACCUUGAAGGACAACACGCUUCAAUGGUUCGCAGAAAGAUGUAUUCUUCCACACAUUUUGAAUGCCUCUAUUAGCGGUGGCUGAGAAGUAGUUUGUGUGCUUAUAACCCACGGCGAGAGUCGUCACUGUUGUGCUCACAUCUUCUAGGAAGACUCUUUGCGCUUGUGCUUUCCAGCCCUCCAUGGCGAGGACCGAGCUCCCUGGGCCAGGUGCACGUGCUGUCCACGUUGCUAUGCUAAUCACCCCAGGAAGCAGCCUGGCACUUUCUGUUUUAAGAUAAAAGGGCCAGGUUCUAAGGGAACCAGGAUUGAGCGAGCCGAUCUAGGACCCCUAGGGUGAAUAUUCAAGUGGGUCAUUUCAAGGUCAAGUGGACACUACAUCGACAUGAUUUACAUUUAAAUAUCAUGCAGGUGAAAGUUUGGCAGCAUGUGACACUGUCUCUAUGGUGUGUAUGAAGCCAGGAUGGACCAGGUGUGUGCCCCGUGAGGAGAAACGUUGGGCCUACGGGACACAUGGUGGCCAUCGGGCUCUGUGGAGUUUUCCCCAGGGUUGGGCUGUGCCUCCCGUGGGUCCUCAGCUGCCUGGCGUAGGAGGCGGGCUCUUGGUGAUAUAGUGCAGACUUACCCGAAGUUUGCAUCCUAGAGGUGACGUGAGUGCUGGAGAGCAGGGCUGGCCUCACUGUCUUUCGAGGGGGCACAGGACCUGCAGGGCUGUAGCCAACGGGAAGGGAGGCUGGUGCCCCGUUCUGCACUCUGUUCUUCCUUGAGCGGUACACCCGUCUCUGCUCGCGCUCCUGUUCUGAAUUCAUCCUCUGUUCUGCCUUUCUCGACUCCAACUUUCCCAGGAGCACUAGAAGGUACUGAUUACCCUGAUUUCAAUGGAGGGCACCACCUCUGGGGAACGUUUCAGACAUCCGGGGGUACCCACAGUCCCUACGCGGAUGGGGAGGGUGCCGCUGGCAGCCACUAGACAUUCUGUGAUGCACGGGACAGUCCCGCACAAUAAAGCUGGCCCCUGUCCCAUGCAGCUCUCAUAUUCCUUCAUGAAGGUGAAAACCCUGUUUCUAGGGAUCUGAGUCCCAGACCAACUUCUUUUCCAUGGCAUCUUCCAAGGCAUUUUUACAUAGUUUUAGUAUAUGCUAAAUCUUCCAGAAAUGCACACAUGCUUAAAAUGAGGGAAAGUUAUUCUUUGUGUUACUUGGAGCUUUACCAAGAACUGGUCACCGUUUCAGAAAGUCACCUCAGUGCUGAGAGCACCACUCACCUCUGGGUCACCGCCCGCACGUCUGCCUCUGCUGACUUGUCACGUUCACAGUGGUUCCAACGUCAGCACACACGUGGGAUGACUUCACUACGCCUCCGUGUGGUUCUGCCCAGGAACUCACAGGGGGAACACAGAUUAUGUCUGUUAUGGUAAUCUUCCUUUUCAUGCUCUUAGGGCGUUAUGUUGAUGUUUUGAAACUGUGAUUAAUCAGGGUAGAUUUUAUUAUUUAUUUAUUUCUUUUGAAAUAGGAGAUUAUUAAAAAAAAAAAGUUAUAAAAAAGGGCAUUGGACCUGGUUGGGCUGAGACCCACUGCACCCUCUUGUGUGCGGAGGAUGGUCGCAUCUGCUUCUUGACCUUGUGCCCUUUACCCACCUCUUUCUGGAACUUGGAAUCUGUCCAGAGCGAGUCGGGCAGGACACUGCUUUUGGGGUUUGAUUCAUUUUUAGGUUCUUCUUGUAACUUUGCUCCACUCUUUCCUAGGUCUCUUUCCUCUUUUCAAAUUCCUACCUUCACUCUCUCACUCAAAUCUAUGAUGAAAUGGUUCUACUCUCCUGUCACGUAUCAUGACAUCAUAUAACAGCUACGGUACCCUCCUUUCAUGUCUGAUGUAGUCACGUCCAUUACCAAAUAAUAUGUAUGUAUAGUUUUCCUCUGGGUUUUGUUUAUAGUUUCAAGCACUUAUUCUCUGUUCUAUUGACCUUAUCAUUCAAAUUAUGUCAAUUGUAAGAAAUAUAUGUCUGUAGUUUAUGACCUAAAUCAGAAUUUUAAAUCAGACUUCACAAUAAAGAGGCAACAAUGUAAGCUGGCUGAUUCAUUAUAAAAUUGCCUCUGAUUUUACUCUUAUAUGUAGCAGUGGAUAUUUUUAACUUAAAAAUGCUUCUUUUGAUUCAUUUUUUUCUUUCAAAGCAUAUAAGGUCUUUGUAACGUAUCUCCUGUAAUUAUCGAGACAGUAGGCUGUUUGGGUCUGUGAAUUCUGGUUGUCAGUAAAUAGUGCCCUUUUCAACCUCCGAAGCCUGUUUUCCUUUGUGCGUGGUGGUGGAGAAGCACACUGCAAAUAGAGCAGAGAGAGGAGUGUGGGCCGGGCGGAGUGGAAGCCCAGAGCUGGAGGAGGAUUGCGACACCACAGCCACUUGCUGGAGAAGCCAAUUCGUGUCGUUCCCAUCCUCUAUCAUCAAAAAGAGAAAAAACCCUCAGUCUCAUUCCCUUCGCUUUUCCCGGGAAGGAGACCAUUAUGCACAAGAACCAGAGCACCGGGAGGCUGCAGGCAGGAGCACACUGCUUCUAGAUGGCCUCCUUCGAUGUCGGAAACCCGGGGGUUUGACUUGGGCCUCCUCUUUAGCAGAUAAUGCCCCAGGGCCUCCCACGUCCUUGAGCUGGGCAGGGCAGCCAGAGUGCAGAGUAGAAGGGGGCAAUUCCCCCCACAAGUUGUGCCCCAGGUCACACAGUGUGGUAAAUGCAGAGAGAGGCACAGUGGGGGUUUCAAUAAUGCGGCUCAGGAGCCCAGGAGAAAAGACCAGAACCAGGAAGGUCAGCAAAUGCACCACGCAUCGGCUCCUGGGUUCCUGAACUGAUUUUAAAGAUGAGCAAGACUUUGCACGCAGAGAAGUAGGAGUGGGAAAGCCCUACCAGGCCACGGGAACAGCACAUGCCAAGGCUUGGUGUCCUGAGAGGGGUAGGUGCUCUCUGGGUGAGUGGCAGGAAGGCUGCGGUGUGUCAGGGGAGCAGUGGGGGCUGAAUCUGGAAGGUGGGCUGGACCAGGUCGGAAAGAGUCUGGUUGCCAGGAUAAGGGGUUAGACAUCUUGUGGGCAGCUGGGGGCCUACGGAGCCCUUGUGUCCUUCACAGAAGGUAACGGCCGCUGUGCUGCGGGGAGAGCCGUGUGGAGGCCUCGGGGGGCUGAGACGAGGGAGCUAGACCUGGG
RNAcentral lists this long non-coding RNA (21391 nucleotides) under Equus caballus (horse). Its description in RNAcentral is "lncRNA (ENSECAG00000050768.1)". Lineage: Eukaryota; Metazoa; Chordata; Mammalia; Perissodactyla; Equidae. The record is from RNAcentral.